UACGGGGGGAGCAAGCGUUGUUCGGAUUUACUGGGCGUAAAGGGCGCGUAGGCGGUCAGCACAAGUCAGUUGUGAAAUCUCCGGGCUUAACUCGGAAAGGUCAACUGAUACUGUGCGACUAGAGUGCGGAAGGGGCAACUGGAAUUCUCGGUGUAGCGGUGAAAUGCGUAGAUAUCUGGAGGAAUACCGGUGGCGAAGGCGGCAUCCUGGACCGGCAUUGACGCUGAGGAGCGAAAGCUAGGGGAGCAAACGGG
This 254-nucleotide ribosomal RNA is filed under the name uncultured bacterium. RNAcentral's name for it is "partial 16S ribosomal RNA". It matches the Rfam family "Bacterial small subunit ribosomal RNA", at positions 524 to 776 of the family's 1533-position model. The record is from RNAcentral.